UGAAGAGCUCAGAAAAGAAGCAAGGCAAUUAAAGCGGGAACUCUUAGCAGCAAAACAGAAGAAAGAAAGUGCCACAAAAGCAGAGAAAGGAAGUGAAGAGGAAGAAGCUGUCCCAGAUGGCCCUGUUGCAGAGUACAGGCGAGAAAAGCAGAAGUAUGAAGCUUUGAGGAAGCAACAGCCCAAGAAGGGAACUUCCCGAGAGGAUCAGACCCUGGCACUGCUGAGCCAGUUUAAAUCUAAGCUCACUCAAGCCAUCACCGAAAUGCCUGAAAACUGUGCUGAAGCAGAAGUUGAAGAUGACGAAGGCUGAUUUGUGAGAGAAGGUUUCUUCCUGUAGACUUGGUUCUGUGGCUCACAUGCCUAGAUUUCAUUUCUUAUACCAGAGCCAACCAAGUCCAAUAGUUGCAAGAUUACCUCGUGACAUUGAAAGGAGGAAGGUACCUUUUUAUGUUUUUAAUUGACAACAUCUGGAAAAGGCAUUUGGAAACUUGGAUAGUUUCUACUGGAAUAGGUGUUAUUAACAAUUCUGUAUUGGAGGGAGAAUAUGGGAUUACUUUUUUAACAGAACAAUGAAUUUGUAUAAAGGUGAAUAAUCUAACUAGAUAGUGGGGUAAGUAAAGCAUCAAUCUAGAAAUAUUAAAUGAAAUUGUCUUGAGGGCUAUGUGGUUCCAGCUUAGGUAUAAGCUUUGAGGUGUACGCUG
Molecule: long non-coding RNA, 701 nt
Filed under: Rattus norvegicus (Norway rat)
Lineage: Eukaryota; Metazoa; Chordata; Mammalia; Rodentia; Muridae
Description: long non-coding RNA NONRATT016074
Source: RNAcentral